GAUGAACGCUAGCUACAGGCUUAACACAUGCAAGUCGAGGGGCAGCAUGAAAGGAACUUCGGUUCUUUUUGAUGGCGACCGGCGCACGGGUGCGUAACGCGUAUCGAACCUGCCUCAUACUCGGGGAUAGCCUUGCGAAAGUAAGAUUAAUACAAGAUGGCAUCAUGAGUUCACAUGUUCACAUGAUUAAAGGUAUUCCGGUAGACGAUGGGGAUGUGUUCCAUUAGAUAGUAGGCGGGGUAACGGCCCACCUAGUCUUCGAUGGAUAGGGGUUCUGAGAGGAAGGUCCCCCACAUUGGAACUGAGACACGGUCCAA
RNAcentral lists this ribosomal RNA (317 nucleotides) under uncultured bacterium. RNAcentral's name for it is "bacterial SSU rRNA". It matches the Rfam family "Bacterial small subunit ribosomal RNA", at positions 28 to 334 of the family's 1533-position model. The record is from RNAcentral.